AUUUUCAGAGGCCAGUGGGAAUUGGAUGCUCAGAUCCCAUUGGAUGCCUCCUGUCUGCAGUGAGGCAUCUACCUUGGAAGCCAAUCAAACUGCCUUUUAAUCUCAAUCUGGUCAUGAAAAGUUAUCAUCUGUCUACGCACAAGCCCUGCACAGGGAGAGAUUCCGUUCUCCGUACCUGGCUGGCAUAGAAGUGUCCAAUGAUUUUUACGAUGACUUGCUCAUUCUCAUCAGGAGUCUGGUCCCGUGGCACCACCAC
Long non-coding RNA from Mauremys reevesii (Reeves's turtle), 256 nucleotides. RefSeq lists it as uncharacterized. The record is from RefSeq and is a predicted model, not a curated record. The transcript has 3 exons. Lineage: Eukaryota; Metazoa; Chordata; Testudines; Geoemydidae.